GAGAAAGAGUUGCGACAGUCCCAUUGGACUCCGUUGUACGCUUUUUGCCGCCUACUUCCGGGGUAUGCAGCCUCGCGUAGUUCCAAAAAGCCAUUCUAUGGCGUUGGACAUCAUACACUUCCAUUGCUGACUGUCGAGUAACUUCUGAGGUAAGUUGAUUAAAUAGCUACCUGUUUUGAAUUGUCAACUGUCUAUAUUGUAUCAUAGGCCCUUUAUGAUGCAUAUACUGAUCUUUUGUUGUAUGUACACAGCGUAAUUAUAUAUAUAUAUAUUUUUUAUCUUGGUAGACGACCGAUUGCCUGCUAGUUUGUUAGCUUGACUUGCCUUCUGUGAAGGUAACGUUAUAUCCAGGGGUAAAUUGAUUAAAUAGCUACCUGUUUUGAAUUGUCAACUGUCUAUAUUUUAUCAGAGGCCCUUUAUGAUGCAUAUACUGAUCUUUAUUUGUAUGUACACAGCGUAAUUAUAUAUAUGUUUUAUCUUGGUAGACCACCGAUUGCCUGCUAGUUUGUUAGCUUGACUUCGCCCUCUGUAAAGGUAACGUUAACGUUAUAUCCAGGCGUAAAUUCAUUAGCUACCUCUUUUGAAUUGUCAACUCUGUAUAUUAUAUAAAUAGGCCCUUUAUGGUGCAUAUGCUUAUAUUUAUUUGUAUGUGCACAGUGCAAUUUAUAUAUAUUUUCUUAACUUGGUAGACAACCGAUUUUCAGUCAUUGCCUGCUACUUAGUUAUCUCGAUUUUGCGAGCUGUGAAGAAGGUAUCGCUACACCAAAAAUUACGAAGUUCAGUAGUGAAUCUCUGACAUAUUUUAUUUGGUAAAUUAUUGAUGUUAGAUUACUAGGAUCAUUAAGGUUGAUUAAGGACGUUUUUUUUUAGGUUGUAUCUGCUGAACCUGGCGGUGUUAGCUAGUCAGCUGAGUACUGUGUAUCUGAUGCUAGUAGAAAUAAGGUUUGUUUAAUUACACCCUUGAAAGGGCUGUUGGAUUGCAUGUAAGAAUACAAAUUAUUUUACACAAAAAAUUAUCAUAAGCCAUAAUGAGCUUUAAAAUGUUUAUUACUCAGACAGUAGUGUGACUAAUUUGUUUCUGUUGCUGGUCCCGGUCAUUUGCAGGUUUUUGCGGCUGACCAUUGUCAUCCAUAUUUUCAUGCGAUCUUUGUCCUUGGGGAAGCCAUUCAUGCGGUAACCCUUCUCGGACCGAUUGGUGCAUCCAAAUGCUGCACAGCCAACCAUGUGUCCAGGACACAGAUGAAGAGGAUGUUAGUAUGCGUUGUCGAGAGGAACUGCCCUACAGUGACUGGCCAUAGUGAAUAGUGGAACUCCACAGGUGUGAGUCUGAUGUAUGCAAGAGAAAGUAUUUUCUAGGCAGUCCUGAGUGAACUGGCUUGUUAGAAUAUAUUUGUGCCCCUGUCUCAACAGAACUUGCUGGACCACCAGUAUCGUUGUUGUGGCCACUGUACGUAUGUUUGUUGAUAUUAUUCAUGCUUGUUCCUUGUUCAUGCUUGUUCACAUUUUUUUUUGUUCCACACUGUUCAUUUUUAUCUUAUGCCAGGUACCUUUAUUAUGAAUGUUGUCCUUCCUUUCAGCCCUGAUGCAUUCUGAAGCCUGAUGUAUGUGGAGGAUUUUUUUUUAUGUAUUAAUCACUUAUAAUAUUC
Molecule: long non-coding RNA, 1646 nt
Organism: Alosa alosa (allis shad)
Lineage: Eukaryota; Metazoa; Chordata; Actinopteri; Clupeiformes; Clupeidae
Exons: 2
Source: RefSeq, a predicted model, not a curated record